This 490-nucleotide ribosomal RNA is filed under the name uncultured bacterium. RNAcentral describes it as "bacterial SSU rRNA". It matches the Rfam family "Bacterial small subunit ribosomal RNA", at positions 10 to 523 of the family's 1533-position model. The record is from RNAcentral.
AGUUUGAUCCUGGCUCAGAACGAACGCUGGCGGCAGGCUUAACACAUGCAAGUCGAACGCCCCGCAAGGGGAGUGGCAGACGGGUGAGUAACGCGUGGGAAUCUACCCAUCUCUGCGGAAUAGCUCUGGGAAACUGGAAUUAAUACCGCAUACGCCCUACGGGGGAAAGAUUUAUCGGGGAUGGAUGAGCCCGCGUUGGAUUAGCUAGUUGGUGGGGUAAAGGCCUACCAAGGCGACGAUCCAUAGCUGGUCUGAGAGGAUGAUCAGCCACAUUGGGACUGAGACACGGCCCAAACUCCUACGGGAGGCAGCAGUGGGGAAUAUUGGACAAUGGGCGCAAGCCUGAUCCAGCCAUACCGCGUGGGUGAAGAAGGCCUUCGGGUUGUAAAGCCCUUUUGUUGGGAAAGAAAUCCAUCUGGUUAAUACCCGGGUGGGAUGACGGUACCCAAAGAAUAAGCACCGGCUAACUUCGUGCCAGCAGCCGCGGUAA